ACAGAUGAUCAGUUGUUUAUUUUUCGUUUACUCUGGUUUAACCUCACUUAACUAGAUAGAUCGAGAAAUUUUAAAUUACUAUUAAUGCCUUCCUGUAAGGUAAAAGGUUGCGAAGUCGAUUGGGGAAAAAUAAUGUGAAAAUGAAUUCUUUCCCAAAAGAAUCUGAACGACGGAAAGUGUGGAUUAAAAAUAUAGGGUUAAAACAAGAUCCAAACAAAUAUGCUGUUGUUUGUGAAAAAAACUGUAAAUAGUAUUUAAGGCAACGAUUGUGAAUGAGUGAGAAGUCUAAUAAAGCCACGACGAGAUACUGUAUUAGAGCGUACGAUUUGGAGGUAUUUUUGAUUAGAUAAAUUUUGUAAAGUACAAUAUAAGUUAGAUUUGAUAAUGUGUAGUAUUUCCUAAUAAAUUAAAUACUAUUAAGUGUUUAUUGUUCUUGUAAGUUAGUGUGGUAAAUAAAUAAUAUGAAGUAAG
Long non-coding RNA from Diabrotica virgifera virgifera (western corn rootworm), 471 nucleotides. RefSeq lists it as uncharacterized. The transcript is spliced from 2 exons. NCBI's taxonomy places the organism in Eukaryota, Metazoa, Arthropoda, Insecta, Coleoptera, Chrysomelidae. The record is from RefSeq and is a predicted model, not a curated record.